UACGGGGGGGGCAAGCGUUGUUCGGAAUUACUGGGCGUAAAGGGCUUGUAGGUGGCCAACUAAGUCAGACGUGAAAUCCCUCGGCUUAACCGGGGAACUGCGUCUGAUACUGGAUGGCUGGAGUGUGGGAGAGGGAUGCGGAAUUCCAGGUGUAGCGGUGAAAUGCGUAGAUAUUGGGAGGAACACCAGUGGCGAAGGCGGCUCACUGGACCGGAACUGACGCUGAGGCGCGAAAGCGUGGGGAGCAAACAGG
RNAcentral lists this ribosomal RNA (253 nucleotides) under uncultured bacterium. RNAcentral describes it as "partial 16S ribosomal RNA". It matches the Rfam family "Bacterial small subunit ribosomal RNA", at positions 524 to 776 of the family's 1533-position model. The record is from RNAcentral.